RNAcentral lists this ribosomal RNA (468 nucleotides) under uncultured bacterium. RNAcentral describes it as "partial 16S ribosomal RNA". It matches the Rfam family "Bacterial small subunit ribosomal RNA", at positions 28 to 507 of the family's 1533-position model. The record is from RNAcentral.
GACGAACGCUGGCGGCGUGCUUAACACAUGCAAGUCGAACGGAAAGGCCCUGCUUUUGUGGGGUGCUCGAGUGGCGAACGGGUGAGUAACACGUGAGUAACCUGCCCUUGACUUUGGGAUAACUUCAGGAAACUGGGGCUAAUACCGGAUAGGAGCUCCUGCUGCAUGGUGGGGGUUGGAAAGUUUCGGCGGUUGGGGCUGGACUCGCGGCUUAUCAGCUUGUUGGUGGGGUAGUGGCUUACCAAGGCUUUGACGGGUAGCCGGCCUGAGAGGGGGACCGGCGACAAUGGGACUGAGAUACGGACCAGACUGCUACGGGAGGCAGCAGUGGGGAAUAUUGCACAAUGGGCGGAAGCCUGAUGCAGCAACGCCGCGUGCGGGAUGACGGCCUUCGGGUUGUAAACCGCUUUCGCCUGUGACGAAGCGUGAGUGACGGUAAUGGGUAAAGAAGCACCGGCUAACUACGUG